Hyla sarda is the source of this 1044-nucleotide long non-coding RNA. RefSeq lists it as uncharacterized. The transcript has 3 exons. NCBI's taxonomy places the organism in Eukaryota, Metazoa, Chordata, Amphibia, Anura, Hylidae. The record is from RefSeq and is a predicted model, not a curated record.
UACUUAUCCGCUGCUGUAUGCUCCAAAGGAAGUUGUGUAGUUCUUUUCACGCCCCAGAAGAAGCAGAUUUAGCGAAACGUUGGGUGGUGUCAGAGGUCCUGCUGUGUCUCCACUAGGACCUUGCACCAAACCUUUUUAGGUUUGAGGGGAUGGAUGCAAAGAUGAAGUAACUAGGAAUCAAAUGACUUGAAAUCACCUCUCCAAGAAAAAUUUCAGAGCUCGGUCAAUGUUCAUUCGAUGGCCAACUCUUGUAACACCCAGGUCAAUGUAAUCCUCCUUGGUCAGUGAUGGGAGCAUUGCCUUAUGGAAGACUGGCAGCAUGACUGUAAGGAGAAUCAAUACCUUUCAGGAGGACUCUAUGUAGCAUAGCCAACUAAAAUUGUAGCCUGUACUAAUAAGAAAACAACAACUCUGAAAAAGUUCUCUUUGAUAGAUGUCUCCAGUUUAAUAACCUGAGGGGGUCAGACAUUGAUUAAAAGUCUUUUCAAAUGGGCAGACCCAUGGCCAAUAGGAGUGCCAACCUAGUAGAUCGAUGUUCAUCAAAGGAGCUUUUUACAUGGCUCAUUAUCGUUUGGGUAGGGCCACCCAAAUAAUUCUUGUAGCCCUUCAUGUUCAUCAUUGUUAGAAUUAUACACAGGGAGAACUGCUUCUAACUGACAAUGAAUGUAGCUAAUCCAUUGGGGUGCUGUGACCAAAGCUUGACCAUCCCUGCUUCUCAUGUAAUGUUAGAUUGCAGACUUUCUUGACAAAAGCCCAGGUGAUUAUAACAUUAGAACAGAUACACAGUACCAUCAUUGUGACUCAUUUCCUGAGUGAUCUCAGGCUAAAUUCUAAAGCUGGGAACGAAGCCAAUGAAAAAAAAAAAAAAAUACAAUCUAUGCUUCCAAAAAAAUUGUUAAAAAUCAAUUUGACAUCAUCGCCAAAGUAACAAUUUCAAUAUUUAAGGUUUUUAAUGGAAAUUUCUGAAGAAGAGGUUUUCAUUUUAUAUUUAUGUAUAAUGCCAAUAGCAAAGUAUGAUAUGUAAUGGCCCAUUUUCUGGGACAU